This 484-nucleotide ribosomal RNA is filed under the name uncultured bacterium. RNAcentral describes it as "partial 16S ribosomal RNA". It matches the Rfam family "Bacterial small subunit ribosomal RNA", at positions 30 to 507 of the family's 1533-position model. The record is from RNAcentral.
AUUGAACGCUGGCGGCAGGCCUAACACAUGCAAGUCGAGCGGAUGAAGGGAGCUUGCUCCUGGAUUCAGCGGCGGACGGGUGAGUAAUGCCUAGGAAUCUGCCUGGUAGUGGGGGAUAACGUCCGGAAACGGGCGCUAAUACCGCAUACGUCCUGAGGGAGAAAGUGGGGGAUCUUCGGACCUCACGCUAUCAGAUGAGCCUAGGUCGGAUUAGCUAGUUGGUGGGGUAAAGGCCUACCAAGGCGACGAUCCGUAACUGGUCUGAGAGGAUGAUCAGUCACACUGGAACUGAGACACGGUCCAGACUCCUACGGGAGGCAGCAGUGGGGAAUAUUGGACAAUGGGCGAAAGCCUGAUCCAGCCAUGCCGCGUGUGUGAAGAAGGUCUUCGGGCUGUAAAGCACUUUAAGUUGGGAGGAAGGGCAGUAAGUUAAUACCUUGCUGUUUUGACGUUACCAACAGAAUAAGCACCGGCUAACUUCGUG